Molecule: long non-coding RNA, 4827 nt
Organism: Cynoglossus semilaevis (tongue sole)
Lineage: Eukaryota; Metazoa; Chordata; Actinopteri; Pleuronectiformes; Cynoglossidae
Exons: 6
Source: RefSeq, a predicted model, not a curated record
UUUUUUUUUUUUUUUUUUUUUUUUUUUUUAGUAGAAAUCCCUGGUCGUAUGCUUUCUGCCAAACGUUCUCUGACACACACACACACACAGCCCUGGAGAAAGCACUGAAUGUCAGUAAAACUGCCAACAACUGCUUCACCACCUGAUCUUCAAUGCUCGCCGGUGUUUUCCUUCGCCAACCACUCAAACUGAACCACACCACAAACGUCACAUGACAAAGUUUACAUAGGAAUCACCUCUGCACGUCAAACUGCUGCAUCCAGACACUGGGCAUUAGUGAGCUACAGUGGCUGCGUGAGAAGGAGUUACAGCUCAGGGUGUGUUCACACGGGUCAGAGUUGGGGUUAACUUAAAACCCUCUCCAUUUGGUCCUGGAUUGACAUCUGGACACCUGGACAUCACACAGAAUUAACCUUCAUCUGACCAAACUGCAUAGAGACGUGAACAAAAUAACAUCGUCCAGGGUGUACCCCGCCGCGAUGACGUUUUUUGCCAAAAGAACAAAAUGAGAAGACGAGCAAGUGUGAAGUCAAAGGUGCGGAGUCAGCAGCGUUGCUUUUUGAAAUAACGAGAUCUGUCAUGGGUAUGAAAAAAAUUGUCCAAUCAGAAGACGGUCUUUCUCCACGUGGUCCUGAAAGUCCUUCUGUGAUCCCCGAACACAUCAGGACAUUCAACCACAACCAAAUCAAUGUUUGUUUAUAUCUAUAACAAAGAAAACAAACUCCCAAGUGUGAACACACCCUUCGGCGUGGAACUUUUUACCCAUGAUGCACCUCACUGCUGUUACAGACGCAGCCGAAUUACUGCAAGUGAAAAGGAAGGGAAGUAACAAAGCGCAUAUAUUUAGCAUCCAUUCCAUCGUCACAUGUCAACAUGUUGCCUUACUGUUCUGAAUAAAGUGGAACCGUUGUGUACUGAGCUGCUCAUGUCAUGUUUCAGGCGUCAGGAUUCACUGAUGGAGGCGAAAAAAACAAAACCACUAAAAACCUGUGUCUGUCUUUAUCCUAGAAGGCAGUUCUGUGGUCAGUGUCCCCAGAGAGCGACGGUUAAAUCGCAGCCAUCAGUGAAUUCUGAUUCUGACCUUUGUUACAUUAUACUUGAUUAACACGGGAAUAUAAACAAACAUCAUUUAACUUCAUUAUCCUUUAUAAAUACUUUACAUUUUGUCUUCAUUCCAUUUUGCAGGAAAAGACAAAAACAAAGGGAAGAAAAAAAUCACAUACAGUUAGAGAGGCAUUAUAAGACAUUAGUUUUCAGGUUUUUCUUUGCGUUGUUUUGUAUUUAGUGAAUAUUAGUGGAUAAAAAUUAAAGUUAAUUUUUCACAAUUUCUUUUUUGUAAUUUACUGUGAAACAGUGAAACUCAUCCUUUGGGUCCAAUUGUGCUUCCUGGAUGAAGGAUAUCAGUCCUUGUUUACAUCUAUCAAAAAAUACAUAAUGCAUAGGAGUACUUUAACAUUAUUAUUAAUAUUAUUAUUUUUACCAUUUUCAUUGUUAUUAUCAUUACUACAGGAAAGGUUGAGCCAAAGUUCUUGCUGUAUUGGGAUGAAGCAGAGCUCUGUGACUUGUUUGUUAUUUUACUUGAACAAAGCAGUGUGACGAUGCUGACCAGUGUUUCUGAAACUGUUGAGAAACUUAAAAAUGAGCCAAGAGCUGCCACAUAUAGAAAAAAAACACUUGAAAGGAAGGGUGAGGUUGUUUUGUCUUCCAUAGUUUUGCUCCUCUUCGUUCUUUAUAUUCCUGUUAGCGGACGUGGAAAUCUAACAUUUGUUUCUUGGAUUUUACUGCAUCAUGUGUGGUGCUGCCUUCAAACAUAUAGAGGAAUGAUGAUGAUGAUGAUGAUGAUGAUGUUGGUGAUGAUGCUUUCUUCACUGGCUGCUGUAGCUUUGUUUGCUUUAUGGUCCUGUAAGUCGUCACCACUCACUCAUCCUCAAGCUGCUGUUUUAAAACAUACUUGUCGGACGGUCGUCUCACCUUUGUUUUUAUGGCUAAGGAAACAUUUACAGUAAACGCUUAUGAUUCUUGAUUUUCACAUAAGCGGAAAAAUUUGAAACUGUCGUCCAAGAAGUGGAAACAAAAACCCGGGAAUGGUGUGGAGCACAUGAUGCUUUGUACAAAUUUCUGUGUAUGUGUGUAAAUGAUCCAGAUUUGAACCAUUAAAAUACAAAUAUUUAUGAUGAUAAUGAUAAUGAUUAUUAUUGAUAUUGUUAUCACCACCAUGAGACGUCACUUCCACAGCCAAAGCCUGUCACAUGUUGCUUUAAGCCUCUCCAGACUGGACUGUAGGUGGUCUACGUGGUGGUCCCACAGUGGCCUGCUCUCUAGGCUUUAUGACGACAGAAGAUUUGUAGCCUGUUUCCCUCUGUACAGACGCCUGUGAUCAUAUCAGAGUAUAUAAAUACACACAGUAUAUAUUUAAGUUCCAACAAGUCACAUGGAUGCUUGGGGCAUAUAUGUACAAAGUGCUGGGUGUGUAUUGUACCGAUGAUGAUUUUCAUUUUCUUUUUCUUUUUUUAAAGAUUCGCUUUUGUUGAGUUAUGACGACUGUAUAGUGAUGUAUUAAACUUUGCAAGCAGUACCAUGAAACCUGGCGGCUCUUUUGAAUGUGUUUCUGAGUGUGUGUGUGUGUUCGUGCCAACACCUUUAUGCAUAUUUUUGCGCCAGAGUCAGACCCAGAAUAAGGGUCGGUGGUUAGAAGUCAAUUUUGUUACUCCGAUAUUACUUUAUUUUAAUAUGUAAAUUAAUUAAAUUGUACGUCCCCGGUGGCUCACUGUCUCCCCCUGCUGUUACAGGAGACCACACUACUACUACUGCCUAAGUGUUUUUAGCAUUGUGCUAAACGGAGAGCUGUGUCUCAAGGGUAGAACAUGAUAGCAGUCGCUUUUUCUUUUUUCGACGUGGUAACGUCACUGUGGCGGAAGUGGCGGCGUGUGAUGUCAGACGCUGAAAAAGUUUGCUAUGUGCCUUAAAAGCCACAGGUGUUUGAGAUUUUACGUGAUGGCGGAUCGACCUGGUCCGGGUGAACGACUCAGAUGGAAAGAUACGUCGAGGAUUUCUUCGCACGGAGACCAGGUCGACGUCAUCCGGCGUCAAACUGACCUGAAACAGCACAAGAUUGAUCAUCCUGAAGAUCUUCAACACAGUAGGGAGCUUCGUUUUUCUUAUUUUCUUUGCGGCCGCUGUGUCGCUGUGUUUCCUGCGGCCGCCGUGCUGCUGUGUUGUGCUAGGCCGCUGUGCCACGAUAUGUGUGUGUGGGUGAAACUUAGCAAAAAUAGCACCAUACCUUUACAAUUUAGGGCUCACAGGCAGUUUAAAUAAUCACACCAGUACCCAAUUUUGAUGUCCCGUCGCGGUCCUCAUCCACAACCUUGGGCGUUGCGAUUUUUUUUUCUACAAUUUCUGCGUUGUGAUCCUCGUCCACAAUUUUGCGCGUGGAUUUCCUGCUUCCGCGAGAAUUUUGGACGUUUUGGCUGCUGUCAUUUUCCCCGGCUGUCUCAUUUCCAUCCAGAGUGACAACCUGAAUUCCAGCUACUUCAAAAAACGUCAAGGACUCUAAAGGAUGUUACAUUUGUUUGCCUUUGUACUAUUAUCAAUGUAUACUGUACAUGUAAGUGUACUUGCCUUUGUACUUGUUGAUGUAUACAUGUAAAUGUACUUGCCUUUGUACUUGUUAAUGUAUACAUGUAAAUGUACUUGUUGAUGUAUACAUGUACCUUUGCUUAGACUAUUAGACUUUUUUUCAGUGUAUUUUCUUGUCAUCGCUGUCUGUGUGCACUUGUCCACCUCUGGUCUUUGUUUGCAUGAGCCUCAGUCUGAUCACCUUUAUCUGCAUGUCGUCUUUUGGAUGUGUUUAAGGCUGAGUGAUUGACAGGUCACCUGGGAGUUGACGUUCACUUAUGUUAAUUUCAUCCACUGGUGUCUAAUCGGGGUUAAUUGUAACACAGUUCUGUGGUGCAGGGUCUGGGGCUUAGUCUGUGAUUGGCUGGAUGUGGUAGGUUUCAGUCAGUUAACCAGGUAAGACUGGGCAUUUCCUGUCCCAGGUGGGUCAGUGCUGGAUCCAUGCAUGCUCUGGAAAUCUGGAUUGGAGGGUGUAUGUGGCCCAGGUGGACCGACUCCAGAUCAUCUCAGCCACAGGAUGUGUCCAGGAUUCUACAGACCAGAGCAGACGUUCAUUGGAUCUGGUCAAACACGACACCUGAACAGGACCAAGGUUAAAAGAAGAAGUGGACUCUCCUCUGAAGAUGACCACUAACUAGACAGACCUGAGACUGUGGAGACACAAUAAUCCCUGUUGUGGUCAGUUUGUUGUGUAGAAAACUUACUAGACUCAUUCAUGUUUAGGUCCUGGACCCAGACCCACCACAGCUGACGGGCGUUUCCAUUUUUUUUUAAAUCCCUGCUUGGCUGUAUUUGGACUUUUUGUCCCUCAUACCGUUGACCUUUAAGAUAAGGGUGACCUUUUAUGGAUAAUCUGACAUUUUGUCUUUGGUCACUGAUGACUUCAACUACACUCUUAAUCCCAGAAUGUUUGCCUUGCUGUAGUUUUGAAUCAGUCAGAGUUUAAUGAACUGGAUUUCUUUCACACUUCACUUCUGUCCUAUUCUCCUUCCACUCCUUCUUGGAGCUUCUGUAAGAAAUCCAGUCAUGAAUUCUUACUGAAUGUUGUACCAUGAUAUGCCGCUUCCAAAAUCAGACCUGGAUCCAUCUGCUUUUGUGAAACUGGUUCAUCUAUGGUACAACGUCAUCCUUAAAAAAAAAAAAAACCCAAAACACUAUCACUUAGUUAAUGUGAAGUACUUUAGCACUGAAUCAAUGAUGUAGUUCAUGACA